UUAGGGAGACCUACUUCGAGAUAUCGCGCCUUAACAACUAUAGCCGUGUCUUGAGGUCAUCCUUAGGUCGGAUGGGGCGGUCAGAGAGCUUUCAAACUUUAGGGUUCGUGUUAU
Molecule: ribosomal RNA, 114 nt
Filed under: Limnospira fusiformis
Lineage: Bacteria; Bacillati; Cyanobacteriota; Cyanophyceae; Oscillatoriales; Sirenicapillariaceae
Also listed under: 5 other names
Description: partial 16S ribosomal RNA
Source: RNAcentral